This 15783-nucleotide long non-coding RNA is filed under the name Zea mays. RNAcentral's name for it is "long non-coding RNA (ZMAY_LNC000211)". The record is from RNAcentral. Lineage: Eukaryota; Viridiplantae; Streptophyta; Magnoliopsida; Poales; Poaceae.
GGCCGAGCACCCCCAUGUUCUAGAAGCUUCUCCCUUGCGUGAAUGUAGCAAUAGACUCCGGCAGUUGGGAUCUCCUGGCAGCGAAUCAUAACAAAUUUUGUCCCAAAAUCUAAUCUCCGUAGCGAAGCUGUCAUUGUUUGUUGCGAUUAUCCCGGUAGAUUUCGACUCAGACUCGAUUCCAUCCUGCGAUUAUAAAAGUCCAGCCACCAUAGCCAUGCGAGCAGCGCACGUCGGAGAGGGAGCUCGGGUGUCGUCGAGUGCGGAACCAGGGAGCCCCGUCGUCCGGGGGGCUUCACCGCGCCGCGCUGGUCAGGUCCGUGGCUUUGGCCGGGCAGGUUUUCGCCCAGAAUUGCGGAUUGGGCGGACCUUCUGUCACGGAGCUUCUUCUCGUCGCGAGCCGCACCGAUUGUGCCCGGAUUCGUGGUAAGUCUUUGUUUAUCGAGUUCUAGGCUUAGCCCGGAGUCGAUUGUCGACUUUUAGCCGCGGGAUUGGUGCGUCAGGGCACGGAUUUGGUUUGCUCCGGCGAGGUCGCGGCCGUCGAUUUGGGCGGCGCUGCCUCGGGUGGAUGUUGGGGGGAAGAUGGUGGUUGUCCGUUAGAUUACGAUCCAACGGAUAUGAUUGAUCGGGAGCGAAGGGGUGUCCUGAGCCGUUGAUCGAUAGAUGGGCGGCACGGAUUAGAUCUCUGCGUACCCCCUUCGGCCAACACAUUUGCUAAAGCGCCCCUGCUCUAUAUAGUAAUCAACCCGCGGUACAAUCCUGAGUCUUGGAACUAUUUGCAUAGUAGACCCUGUGCUCUAUGGAAUUCACAGCCGCGGUCCAGUCAGUUAUUAAAUAAGAGAAAACAUAAUCAAAAUGAAUUUCUUAUAUAAAAACAAUUCCAGAAUCUUGUUAAAUCCAUAGAAAAUUCAUAUUAAGUCCGAAUUGACCCAUUCUUGUUUCUAUAAUUUUGUAAUAUUAUUGUCUAUCGGCUAGUGUCUCUGGUUUGACAUGAAAACUAUAUUAAAAAUUAAUCUCUCAAUUAAUCUUGUAUCAAAUACAUAAACCUUUGGAAAUUUCUAACGUCCCCAUUUUAACUCCGUUUUGAUCCAUUCUAGUUUCAUUAGUCUCACCAUAAUAUUUAUUAUCAUCUGGUAACUUUGUUUUGUCAUGAGAUAUAGGUUAAAAUGUUGCACUUAGUCUAUUAUAUACUUAACCGUGGAUCUUCUAUAAAUCAUAACUCUUUAACCGUAAUUCCGAAUUUAGUGGUUCUUGUUUCCACGAUCUCGUAGCGACGCGUAGCUUAUUCUUACACAGUUAGUUCUUAUGAUUGAUGUGAUGUUAAUUUUGUCUAUACCAUGUUUGUUUGUAUUGCUACGACUAGCAGUGAGGUUACGAAUCUCGAAGAGCAAGUUGGUACCUAGAAUCUCAAGUCCCAGGCAAGUUGUGCCCUUGAUCACUUCUUUUACCCAGUCAUGUUCUUAUUAAUCAUAAUGAUCUGCAUAGGUUAAUUUUGAUGGGACCCAAUAGGAUACCCUAGAUUUUGACUAUCUUUAUACCUUGCUUCACCACUGGUUUUACUACUAAGUUUUUGGGUAGUACAUGCUAUUGCUUUAUGUGGAUUUGGGUAUAGAGAUAUUCAUCACUCAUUUUUACACUUGUUAUUAUCUGUUCAUUAUUUUAUGUUCAUGAUAAGAUCAUUAUGUUAAUGGGAACAUGGAGAACCACCCAGGAAAACAGUGCUACCACAAGGGUUUAUGGACGCCCUUGGCUGAUUAAUUAGGAAAGCUAGUGGAGGACUACCUUACCCGAAAGGGGCAAGGGCAGUAGGGGAGUGGUCAGUGUAGGGAGGUCCUUGGUUGAUUUUGCUGCGAUGGCGGUCAGGCAAGAACCCUGCACUGGAGCUUCCUAUAAACUGUAGCGGGUUUUCUGAAGCUAGUGGAACUUUGUAAAGGCCUCGUAGUGGUACCCUGCCUCGCUUCCUUGGUAGAGGUGUAUGGAGUCUGAUCAACUCUGUGGCAAAUGGGUAACACGACUUGUGGGUAAAGAUGCGCAACCUCUGCAGAGUGUAAAACUGGUAUACUAGCCGUGCUCACGGUCAUGAGCGGCUCGGACACUCACAUGAUUAAAUUAUGGAACUUAAACUCAAUUUGUCAUAUGCAUUGCAUCGCAGGUGAGGUUGUUACUUUUGUUCUACUACUUAAUUGGGUUGGUAUUUACUUAUACUUAGUAAUUGCUAAUAAAAUUUUGACCAACUUUAAAAGCAAUGCUCAGCUCUAACCAUCCUCUUUGGUAAGCCUUACACUUCACGUGAGCUCCCACCUUUGGCGAGUUCAUGCACAUUAUUCCCCACAACUUGUUAAGCGAUGAACGUAUGUGAGCUCACUCUUGCUGUCUCACACCCCCCCACAGGUCAAGAACAGGUACCAUAGGAUGAGGCGCGUGGAGGAUGCUGCGAUGUGUUCGUGAGAGGUCUAGGUCGUCGUCUCCCAGUCAACUUUGGUUUGCUGGACCGUUGUCUCCUUAUAAUGUAAUUAUUUAUUUUGUACAAAACUCCUAUUAUAUAGUAAAGAUGUGACAUUCGAUCAUGUGCCAUGAUUCAUCAUAUGUGUGAGACUUGGUCCCAGCACACCUGGUGAUUAUGUUCACGCCCGGGUCUUGGUGCCCCAAAAUCUGGGUGUGACACUCCCUGAUCAGGUCCCCGAAAGUCUUACUCAUCGCUCGCACAAAUGUUGGCAAGGCGUUCUUCAGACCGUAGGGCAUCACGACAUAGCAGUAAAGCCCAUCCACUGUUACAAAAGCGAUAUGCUUCCUAUCUUCCCUAGACAUCUGGAUUUGAUGGAAACCAGAGUAAGCAUCUAAGAAAGACAAAAGGUCGCACCCGGAGGUGGAAUCCACGAUUUGAUCUAUUUGCGGAAGUGGAUACGGGUCUUUAGGACAAGCCUUGUUAAGGCUGGUGUAGUCGAUGCACAUCCGAAGCUUCCCAUUCGCCUUGGGGACGAUGACUGGGUUGGCCAGCCACACUGGGUGAUGGACCUCUUCGAUAAAGCCAGCGUCUAGCAGCUUCGGACCUCGUUCGGAUGAAGUCCUAUCGCUCGACAGACUUUCUGCGAGGCUUCUGACUCACCGGCCUGGCGUCAGGGUUGAUCUUCAGAUGGUGCUCGAUCACCUCCCUGGGGAUCCUAGGCAUCUGCAACGGCUCCCAUGCGAACAUGUCGGCGUUUGCCUGGAGGAAGGAGACGAGCGCGAGUUCCUGUUUUUCCUCCAGAUCACCCGCAAUGCGAGUGGUCUGGGAGGAACCCGCGCUGAGCUGGACGACCUUGAUGGGGACGUCGUCCGCUCCGGAUGGCUGCACCUUCGACACUUUGGUAGGCGCCUUGGUACCAGAGGUCGAGGGGUUCUUCCCUCCGUCGUCUGGGCAAGCAGCUUUUGCCGCUAGGGCAUGCAGCUUUUCCAUAGCCGCGAGCGCAACGGCGCGGUCGCCCUGCACGGUGAGGACCCCGGCCGGAGACGGCAUCUUGAGGACCAAAUACCCGUAAUGGGCGAUGGCCAUGAACCGGUACAGGGCCGGCCUGCCGAUGAUGGCAUUGAAGGGGAGGUUAACCUUUGCGACAUCGAAUACGAUGUUCUCCAUGCGGAAGUUCUCCUCGGUCUCAAAUGUAACUGGGAGUGCGAUGCUCCCAAGGGGAUACAUCGGUUGUGGGCCCAGUCCAGAGAAUGGACGAGAGGGUCCCAGCCGAGACCUUGGGAUCUGUAGCUGCUUGAAUGUAGCAUGACUGAUGACGUUGAGGCCGGCCCCUCCGUCCAUCAGAACAUGGUGCAGCCGCAUGUUGGCGAUGACAAGAGCGGUGAUGAGCGGUAGUACACUGGCCCCUGCCAUGUUUUCGGGGCAGUCGGAUGCCCCAAAGGAGACAGUGGUGCUCCUCCACCGCUGAUGUGGAGCAGCCUUCGGGACCCCUGGGACCGCCAAAAGGACCUCUCGACGCAGGGACUUGAUGUUCCUGCGGGAGGUGAGCUCCCAACUCCUGCCGUACACCAUGUACAACUUCUUGCGGCGGUCGUCGUCGUCACCAGAGUCGGAGUCUCUAGUGAAGACGUCCUUGAGGCCCCCCUUGGGUGACUGAUACCCGAGCUCCCGUUCCCCUGCGGCUACUUCGCCGUCGUCGACCCUCUCCUUGCUAGGUCGGCGAUGGGGUGGGGAGCCAUCCUUGGAGGACUGCUCGCGACGCUCGCUGACGCGCUUCGCGAGCUUGAUUAUCUCGCGGCACUCCAAAGCGCUGUGGCGACUGUUGGGGUGCAUAGGGCAUGUGCCGCUGUUUCCACCCUACGGCCGGGGGCGCUUGUUGCGCUCGCUCCAGCCCCCAGCUGUCGCUGCGAUGACCGGAGCGGCAGUCUGCGGCUUCUCGUGGCCGCGGUUCUUCUUUUUCUUCUUUUUGCCGUCUUGGGACACGGCACCCGAGCCACCCGUCUGGGUGACCUCGAUCUGUGGUGCCGAGUGCCAUGCACGGCCCUCGGCAGCCCUGGCACACUUGUUGGCCAGAGCGAAGAGUGUGGUGACAGUUUCCAUGUCGUGUGUGGCUAACUUUUCCAACAUCUUUUCAUCACGCACUCCCUGGCAGAAAGCGGUGAUGAUGGAAGCAUUUGAAAUACGAUGAAUAGUGCCUCGUACCUUGGUGAAGCGGGAGAUAAACGCCCAGAGAGUUUCUCUAGGCUCCUGCCUCACUGCGUGGAGAUGGGCUUCCACGCCAUGUUGCUGAUAAGCGCUGGCGAAGUUCACUACAAACCUUGCGCAGAGCUCUUCCAAGGAGUAGAUCGAUUCUGGGGCAAGGUUCAUGAGCCAAGUCCGGGCCGGCCCAGACAAGGCAACAUGGAAGUAUGUCGCCAUUACGGUGGUGUCUCCACCGGCUGUCGUAAAUGGCGGUGACGUAAACCUGCAAGAAUUCUGACGGAUUUGUCGUACCGUCGUACUUCUCCGGCAGGUGUGGCCGGAACUUGGAUGGCCAGGUCGCCGCGCGGAGAUGAUCUGCUAGAGCGGCGCAGCCCACGCCGGCCAAGGGGACACCCGUCUGGAUCCGGGCGCCCGUUGGGGUCUGCGGUGCAACCGCAGCAAAGUCGUAGUCGAGGUUGCGACCCUCGAUGUUUUGUCGGCGCUCACGCACCCUCUCCAGAGAGACGCAGACAUCCCCGCCCACACGCCUGCGGUUGAGUUCCACCCGCAGGUCAUUAGACCUCUCCAUAGAGACUGGGGCAUCCUCGCCCGCUCGCCGGCGAUUGAGCUCUGCCCGCAGGUCCUCAGUCAGCGCGACCCUCACCGAGGGAGAGCGCAUUGAUACCGACGCCUCAUGCUGGCGUUGGGAUGACCGAGGCCUUGGCCUGGUUGAGCCAGAGUGCGCCAUGCUGAGCAGGCGGUCGACGUCGUCACGCCACUGCUUCAUGGCCCCCGAGGAGGCCGUGGAGCUAGGAGGGUGGCGCAGCAACUCUCUAGCCGCUGACAGCGCCCCAGGCGCAGCCCUAGACGUCCUCGACGUUUGCGCGGGAGUGUGCUGCCGUGCAGAGUGCACAGCAGUGGCCGCACCAGGCGCCGAAAGGUUGGUGGCCCGCGGUGUGGAAGAGGCAGCCGCCUCUUCCACCAUGAAGUCCUCGGGCAAGAGAUCAUGGUGCUCGACGAUGUGGACCAUGGAGUUGAGCAGAAGAUUAAGCAAAAACCUAAAGCCUAUCCCCCUACCUGGCGCGCCAAAUGUCGGAGAGGAAAUCUCCGGCCAGGUGGCGGAAUGCACCCGCCCUAAAUCCUAAGAUGAGGAGGGGCCUAAGUGUUUUGCCUGUUAGGUGGAAACGGGAAGAACACAAGAACACACAAGGAUUUAGAGUGGUUCGGGCCGCUGGAGCGUAAUACCCUACUCAACUAUGUGAUGUAUUGAGCUUGAGAGCUUGUAUGAACUUGUGAGUGUGAGAGUCUAAGUGUGUCUGCCUUGUAACGUUGCGUGCCUCCCCUUUUAUAGCUCAAGGGGGCACGUACAAGGGUGCUGAGCCCCGACAUGCGGGCCCAGGAACAUAACAGAUGUAAUAUUUGUAGUAACUAAUGCUGGUCGCCAGUGCAAUCUCCUUGCGCCCUGAUAUCCGCGGUCUACGUAGCAUUGGCGUGCAGCGGAAGCUUCCCUAGCAACGUACAAGUGAUGAUGAGCACAGCGUAUGCCGCAGCAUGGGCAUACUGCCUGCCACCGGAAUGGACAGGCACGUCGCCUUCAGGAUGGCCUGGUCGCCGCCCAUCAACAGAUUGGAUAGGGCUCAUCUAAUGCUGAGGCGGCACAUCGCCUGCCAGUGGAGUAGACAAGGCUCAUUAAAUGCCGAGGCGGCACAUCGCCUGCCAGUGGAGUGGACAGGCGACGCGACUUAUCCGCAAUUAAUGCAGAGGCCACGCGGCCCAGAGGCCUUACAUCACGCUCCGCCUGUAGGCUUAUGUCACGGGCAGUGGGCCACGUGGCAGCAUCGGGUCUCCGCCUGAGUGGGGAGCAGAAGCGUACACGACAUGGUCCGGACACGUGUCGGCUCUGGACCCCCGUCUGGUCUUGAUUAAGGUCCGGGUAGUCUUUGUCCCAGAAUCCGGGGACCCUACCAUGAGUAGCCUGGACCCCACACAGAGGGGUCCGGGACCCAUACCGGGGGUCCGGUUCGUGCCCGUGGGGGUCCUGGACUUCACACGGAGGUCCAGUUCGUAUAUACAGGGGUCCGGUACUUCCCAUGGGGGUCCAGACCUACUGACGAUACCUUGGAGGAUAUCGUCUUCUUUGGCCACGUGGCGGCCCUGGAGCUGCCCGCGUGGUGGGGUCGGGCGCUGUUUGCCACGCGACUAGAGAUAGCCGCGUGGACUCCGCGCCUUCAUACUGUAGUAAGGGGUACCCCUGUUCCAGGGUACUGACAGUCUCCAAACCAAAGAUUUUAUGAUUAAGUUGGGACAACAUAGUAUAACGUCUAGAUAAAGUAUCAGCAAUCACAUUAUCCUUUCCUUUUUUAUGCUUAGUAAUGUAAGGAAAUGAUUCUAUGAAUUCAAUCCAUUUAGCAUGUCGUUUGUUUAGAUUAGAUUGUCCCUUAAGAUACUUCAAAGAUUCAUGAUCCGAAUGUAUGACAAAUUCUUUAGGCCAUAGAUAACGUUGCCAAGUUUGCAAAACUCGUACUAAAGCAUAUAAUUCUUUGUCAUAUGUAGAAUAAUUCAGAGUUGGAUCAUGAAAUUUUUCACUAAAGAAAGCAACAGGUUUACCUCCUUGAAUGAGCACUCCUCCAAUCCCAAUGCCGCUCGCAUCAUACUCGAGCUCGAAUGUCUUGUCAAAAUCAGGAAGUUGCAGCAGUGGUGCUUGUGUGAGCUUUGACUUGAGGGCAUCAAAAGCUUGUUGUUGUGAUGGUCCCCAACGAAACAUCACUCCAUUCUUUGUCAACUCAUGGAGAGGUGCUGCAAUGGUGCUGAAAUCCCGCACAAAUCGCAUGUAGAAUCCUGCAAGACCAAGAAAACUUCGAACCUGCAUGACCGUGGUUGGAAGUGGCCAGCUCGUGAUGGCAACAAUUUUUGUCUCAUCCAUCUCAAUGCCCUGCGAUGUCACAACAUAUCCAAGAAAAUACACACGAUCGGUGUUGAAGGUGCACUUCUCAAGGUUACCAAAUAAACGUGCAUCACGCAAAACAUCAAAAACAACACAUAAAUGUUCAAUAUGAUCAUCAUGAGACUUACUAUAGAUAAGAAUAUCAUCAAAAUAUACCACCACAAAUUUACCAAUGAAAGCACGUAAAACCUCGUUCAUCAAUCCCAUGAAAGUGCUAGGCGCAUUAGUUAACCCAAAAGGCAUGACUAACCACUCAUAAAGACCGAACCUAGUUUUAAAUGCAGUUUUCCAUUCAUCACCUAAAGACAUACGAAUCUGGUGGUAUCCACUACGCAAGUCAAUAUUAGAGAAAACAAUAGAACCACUUAAUUCAUCAAGCAUGUCAUCCAAUCUAGGAAUAGGAUAUCUAUACCGAAUUGUGAUGUUAUUAAUGGCUCUACAAUCAACACACAUGCGCCAAGUGCCAUCUUUCUUAGGAACCAAAAGAAUAGGAACAAAACAAGGACUAAGGCUCUCACGAAUGUACCUGCGGUCCAGAAGGUCCUGGACCUGGCGCUGAAUCUCCUUAGUCUCCUCGGGGUUGGUCCUGUAGGCAGCACGGUUGGGCAAGUUCGCCCCUGGAAUUAAAUCAAUCUUAUGCUCAAUGCCUCGCACAGGUGGUAAUCCAGGGGGUAUCUCAGAGGGAAACACAUCCAUAUACUCUCGCAAAAGGUUAGCAAUAGCCGGUGGCAAAGCAAUAGACGUAUCAUCAAUGGAAUAGAAAGCAUUUUUGCACACUAAGGCAUAGCAAAGUCCAACAAAGGCAUGUAACUCAUCAAGAUCAGAUUUAGUGGCUAGCAAAGUAGGAGUUUUUAACUUAAUAUGUUGCUGAUUUUUAGAGUUCAAAACACCUUUUUGCUUAGCAUUAGUCUUUUUCUCAUAUUCAAAGUGGACAAUUUCAGUGGGAGUCAUAGGAAGCAACACAAUUUUCUUUCCCUUAUGCAUGAAAGUAUAUUUAUUAGAUCUACCAUGGUGAAUAGCAUCAGUAUCAAACUCCCAAGGACGUCCCAGUAAAAGAGAGCAAGCAUACAUAGUCACCACAUCGAAAUCAGCAAAGUCAUGGUAAGAGCCAAUAGAAAAAUGCACCCUUGCUGUUUUUGUUACCUGGAACUUACCGCUGUCGUUAAACCAUUGAAUGUGAUAAGGGUGGGGAUGCUCUCGUGUGGUUAAGCCAAGCUUCUUGACCACCUCAACGUUCACCAAGUUGUUGCAGCUACCACCGUCAAUGAUGGUAUGUACACGACAGUUCUUGACGAUGAGGAACAUGUUGAAGAGGUUGUGGCACUGUCUGUUGUCGUCGUCACUAGCCAUGGCACUCAAAGCUCGUUGCACAAUCAAGGCCUUAUAGGUCUCGGUCGCUGUUGUACCAAGAACCUCUUCAUCACCAUCAUAAGUCUCUGCAAUGUUAGCUCCAACAGUAUCUUCAUCUUCAACAUCAGAAGCACUAACAUACCCACCAUCACCAGUAGCAAUGUAUGCCCGUUUGCUAGGGCAAUCUCGCUGAAUAUGGCCAAGUCCUUGGCAGCGGUGGCACUUGAUGUCAGAGGAGCAGCCUGUGGAAGAGGUGGUCGUAGCAGGUUUUGCUGCAACACCCGAAGGCACCAAGGACUUGCUCUUGUCGUGUCCCUAUGAUGCCGAAGGUGCGGUGCUGCGUGUGCCACUGGUGGCGGAAGAUGUGGACGUCUGUACGCUCGAAGAGGAUGACGCCUUGGUUGGCGCCGGUGGCUGGCGUGGCGCGAAAGUGCUGCUCCUCCGCUGUUGACGACCCUUUAAUUCUUUUUCUGCCAACAUAGAAAGAUGGAACAAGCGUUGUAUAGAAUGAUAUUCUUUAUAAUCAACAAUAUCCUGAAUCUCCCGCCUCAAUCCCCCAUAAAACCUAACCAUUUGAUCCUCCGGAUCCUCAACUACCCCACAUCGUAGCAUACCUUUCUGAAGCUCUUGGUAGUAUUCCUGUACCGACAUGUCUCCCUGAUCUAAGCGUUGCAAUUUUUUUUGAAGAUCACGUCUAUAAGAAGGGGGAACAAAGCGAGCUCGCAUCUCCUCUUUUAAUGCAUUCCAUGUUUGUGGUGCAGCACAUGUCUUAACAAGUUCAUUCCACCAAAUGAUAGCAAAAUCUCUAAAUUCACUAGUGGCUUGUCUAACCCUAUGCUGCUCAGGAACAAGAUGGGAAUUAAAUUUUUGUUCUACCGUCAUCUCCCAGUCUAAGUAAGCUUCAACAUUAUAAGAACCCAUGAACGGUGGAAUAGAGAACUUAAUCUUAGCAAAUGGAUCAUGGUAUGGUUCAGGAUUAUGAUGACGGCGUCUACCAUUACCUCCCAUACCUUGUCGAUUACGUGCGAGGCGUUGUUGCAGCGGUGCAUAAAGAUCGUCGUCAUCGUCCACAGGAGAGUGAGCUGGGGCUGGAGUUGGUGGUGGGGGACGAGCCUCCAGUACGUCCAUGCGUGUAACAAGUUCAGCAACUCGUCGAUCAAGCUGCUCAUAGGAUGUCGCCGCAGAGUCCUGGUAUUUUUUAAAAGCUUUAGUCAUCGCGCGCAUCAUCUCCUUCAAUUCCAGCUAAGAGACACACUCAUCAUCGUUAAGCUUAGGCCCCUUGUCCUUGUCCAUUUGAUUCUUUGGUCCUGUCAUUGUUAGCACAAAACAGAGAUAAAAAGGCAACAAACAAUGUGAACCCUACAACUAUCUCUCAGGGUGGUGGUGGUGGAAUACAAAUUAUGAAGCAUCUUACCCCGCUCUUACAAGGUUCUUACCAGCACUGCAGGUGGCAAACGGUGACCGGUGUGACUGUCCAACGAGCGUGGGUGUGAUUGCAAAGGAGUACCUGUUCUGCUCGAGAGAAAGCUGGAGCUCUAGGAAGGCUGACUAAAUAUAUAUAUGUGGCACACAAGUCAGUAACAGAUAGCAAUGCUGAAUAAGUCUUCCAAGUACUGGUCCUAGUUGCUGGCCUAGAAAAUGUAAUAGAACAGUUGGACCAAGGCACAAGAAAGGAGGUACAAGUAUCUAGGUGCAGCAAGAAAACAGGCUUGGGGCAAAAUAAUCACAGAGGUGCACAGAACACUGGCGUUUUUGUUUAUGUGCUACUCUUUUCUUCUUUUUCCUUUUUUUGCGAUUUUUUUUCAAAUAUUUUUUAUAUUUUUCUCUUUUGCAGCAGCACAUAAGAAGAAAACACACCAAGUUUCAGAUUUUUUUGUGCAAUGUCGCGUCCUUUGGAAUUUCUACAAGUUUGCCCUAAAAUCGGAAUAAAUGUUUGGAAAAUGAGAAGUCCUAUUUCCAAGCCGAAUUUGGGAAUUUUAAAAACAGCAAAUCUGGCGGAGCGGGAAAGAAUCGGAUGCGAAAUUUAAUUCUUUGCGAUUUGAAAAAAAUGGGCUCGAUUCGAGUUCCGAGGCGAAAGUUACAGCCGUUUUAAGUUUGGACUCCGAAUCAGGGUUUCUGGCGAGGUGUUGGAAGGGUGGGGGGUUCGGUUUUAUGGAUAGGGUCGGUUUUAGAGAUAGGAUAUAUUUUAUGGAUAGGGUCGGUUGUAGAUAUAAGAUCUAUUUUGUGGAUAGGGUCGGUUUUAGAGAUAUGAUUUGUUUUGUAGAUAGGGUCGGUUUUGUAGGAUGGAAGCGGAUGGACAGAAUCAAACUGAACCAAAACAAAUCUAAACCAGCCACCAAACUCAACCUAGAACACGAACUCAGAACUGCGGACUCUAAAACUGAAUUGUGCAAAGGCUAAGACAAUGGUUUAGGUCGGAAUAAACUGAUCAUGAUUAUUUUUUUGGCUUUUUGUGGACUAUGGGAUGAAACAAAAUUAAUCUAAAGGUAGGAUUAUACCUCACGGACAACCAGGAAAUCUGAUACCAAUUGAUAGAAGAUGCGACCUGAUCUUCCGUGAGAUACGAUAACUUGAUUGAGUGGAGAUCUCGACGUUGAUGAUCCAAGGCUCCGAGCGAACGGAUCCUCGCAAUCACUACACCACGGCUCUGUUGGUUAUCACCCGUGACACACGAGUGACAUCGCCACGAAGGCUUAUCCCUGCAAGCGCAAUCAAGAACACAAGCAAGAACAAGAAAGAAACGCAACCAAAAUUGUAUUGAUUACAGAAUGGUGUCUCAUAAACCGAUGACGACGACACUGUUCGAUGACAGAAUUGAUCUAAGCAAAACCGAAACCUAAUGUGGUGGUGGCUGCUGAAUAAAUAGAGUAUUAGGGUGUGCGCGACCCCCUAGACUCGCCCCUAAUGGGCUCCGACGCGAUACACGGCCCAAUGGCCCAACAGACAGUGUCGCAGCACCAAAACAGAAUCUGAAUGCUGAAUUGUUUCGACGAUUCUCGUUGAAUCCGGAUGAAUUUUAAGGUGGAACUAGUUGGGUUGGUUAGAUAAUCUCUUUAUCUUUCCAACCAUAUCAAGUUCGUCGCAAUCGGAGUCCGAAUGCAUCUUGGGCGUCUAUUUUAGUGCAGACUGGUCCUAGACCCCAAGAUGGAGUCGCAGCCGAGUCAGACUUGAUCUCCUUCCUGUUGUGGGUGCCCUUGCUGCUCCUCCUCAACACCUUGGUCUUUCCCAAGUCCUUGCUGGUUCUCUCCAAGGUUCCUAAUCAUCAAAACAUCAAUUGCCCCAAGCGUAAGCUCUGAAACACAAUUGACUAGGGUAGAACAUACCUGGAGAUUUAGUUGUCGUGCACGCGAUCGUGUUAUCGGUCCAUUCAUUGUAUGUAUAGAAGUGAUGUCCUCAUCAAACUUGCUCUUCAGAUGACACGUGUCCUCACUGCUAAACGUAGCAAUACAGACAAACAUGGUACAGGCAAAAUUAAUAUUACACCAAACAUAAUAAUAAACUGCGUAAUAAUAAUCUACGGGUUGCUAUGAGAUCGUGGCAACGAGAAUCGCUAAAUUCGGAGUUACGGUUAAGAAGUUAUGGUUUUCUGAAGAUCCACAUGGUUAAAUAUAGAAUAGACUAAGCGUAAUAUUUUAACCUAUAUUUCAUGACAAAACAAAGUUGUCAGAUGAUAAUAAAUAUUAUUGUGAGACUAAUGCAACUAGAAUAGAUCAAAAAGGAGGUACUAUUAUUGAGUUACAAAUUUCUAAAGAUUUAAUAGUGGUGUAUAAAAGGAAUUAAGUACAAAAUUUCAGUUUAGGUUUCAUAACAAAAUAAAGUUACUGGAUGAUAAACAAUAUUAUUACAAGUCUAAUGCAACUGGAAUGAAUUAAUUUGGAGUUAAAAUGGUUUUAAUACGAAUUAAACAAGUUUCUUGAUUUAUUUUUAAACUAAAAAUCAUUUUCUGAAUUAUUCUAUCCCUUUUAUUCAACACCUGGGCUGCGGACACAAUUUCCGGAAAGCACAGGGUGCACUUUAUAAAAACCAGGGGCCUAUACCGAAUUACUUAACAUGGAAAGGGUUGGCGGGUUGAUAAGUCAAAAGGGCGAGGGUUCUUUUAGAAAACGACCACGACUGUUAUAAUGCGCGGGCAACCAGAGUCAUCCAGAUCGAAUCCAAUGGUCACAAUACAACGCGCGAAGGGGUACGCUUGAUUAAAUCAUGGCCCCCAUCUGUGAGUCGACGGUUCUGAUCUAUCAGAUUGAAGCGGUAUCCCUAGGGGUAAUCUGAGCCGUCCAUCAGUCGACCAACGACUCCUGUUUUCCCCACCAAUCUACACAAGGACGCGGCGGCGCCGGUCACCAGGGCGGCGGCGCCAUUGCCGGCAUGCCACCACCCCACACCCCAGUAUCCCAAACUUCAACCCAGCGCGUGCUACACAUAGAGGAGGUCAAGGCGAACCUAGAGGAGUAUUUCUUACUAGCAAUGGUGUAGUGGAGAUCUCGAGCCACAGUGAGGUGCGGUUUUUCCAACGUGCGUGACGACGGCGAACAAUCCGCCGACCACCAGGGUCUCUCCAGGCUAGAUGCCGCCAUAUCCGAGUCCCGAAGAUCACGACAAAGCUCCCAAGGCCGAGUUUGCGCACCGAACAGCAACAGGGACACAGUCCCAUGGCGGCGGCGUCUGGUUCUCCUUCUCUGCUCCGGACCGUGGUGGAGCCCGUGCUUGCUUCUCGUUUCUCUCUCGGUUUCCGUUUAUGGCGCCUGGCUCGCGUUCUUAUAGCCUUGCAAAGUUGGUCCCAUGCCGCUAGCAACAAACUCCGGAUUCCAUGGAACAAGGGGCGGCGUGGCAUGCACGGCGAAGACCGGUAGAGGGGAUAGAGCUGAUGAGGGUGGCCCACCAGUAAUUGAACGCAAGUAUGGCACAAGAGGCUGGCGAGCGGGACCCACACGUUGGUGUCCCCGCGUGUGGAGGGCGCACUGGGCUGAGGGGAAGUGGGCCGCGCGGAGGGGGGAAAUAGGAGAGGAAUGGACCGGCAGAUGGGAAUGUUGGCCCAGCUACGGGUACAACCAUAUUUCUUUUUUUUUCAUGAUUUCAUAUUUCAAUCCUAAUUUCAAAUCAGGUUUUUAAAUUCCAAUUUCUAAUUAAAUGUAAAUAGAGUUCAAGCUUAAAACAAAUUAUGUGCACAGACAAAACUCCAAUAUGAAUUCAAAAGUAUAAUUUUUGUUAUUUAUUAUCCCUUUUAGCAAUUGUUCUCAACAUACAAGCCAUAAAGAUUAUUUUUAGGAGAAAUAAAUUCUAAUGUGUAACCUUCAUUAAAAGGUGGUUUUACUUACCCUCCUUAAGAAUAUCCCUCAACCAUAUUAGUAAAAAAAUAAUCUAAUUCAUAUGAAGAUAUUUCCACUUUCUUUGAUUUCUUUAUUUAUUUAUUUUCUAUUUGCAUAAACUAAUGUCAUUAGUUAAGUAUGAAAGAAGGAAUCAAGAAAUCCCUAAAACACUCAAUUAUUUAUUUAUUUAUUUAUUUUAUUAUUAUCUUUCUUUAUACCAAUUUUGGGCUUUACACAACCACUUAGUUUCUUUUCAAACUUUGCCUCUAUCAUUUUUCAAUCAGUAUUUCCUAACCUCUUGUUGUGCAUCGGGAUACCUAGAUAUUUAAACACGUACUCCUUUCUUACAGCCAAAAAUCUGUUGAUAUUGAUGUUCCUCCUCUACUGCCUUACGAAAACAGAAUAGCUCACUUUUAUGGUAAUUAAUUUUCAAACCGAAGACUUGCUCAAAGGCUACAAAAAGCGAUUUCAGAUUUGCUGCUUUCUCUAAAUCAUUAUCAAAAAACAACAAGGUGUCAUCUGCGUAUUGCAAAAUAGAGAGCCCUCCAUCUACUAAAUGUGGCACUAGACCGUCAACUUGACCAUCUGCUUUAGCUCUAUUAAUAAGAAUAGCAAGCAUAUCCACUACUACAUUAAAAAGAAUGGGAGAGAGCGGGUCUCCUUGCCUCAACCCAUUGUCCAAAUUUCCUGUUGCUAAAGCUUUGUUGUUAUCUUAUUUGUUGCUUUCCGUGGUAAGAUAUCGUGGGUUCAUUCGUUUCUAAUACAGUGGCAUCCUUUGCUUUUCCUACCUUUUUGUUCACAUGUGGUUCUGACCGCGUACGCAGUCUUGGAGCAGUGGCUGGUGCUGUACGUAUCCGCUGAUACUUCGUCCUCGUUGACUCCAGUGUAAGUUUCCUCCGGCCGACUGAAACUUCCAGUUACCUACCGUAUUGACUAGUUCUCUCUCGUUGUCUAGCGUAGCACCUCACUGGUUCAGGACUGAAUGUUGCUGGCGACUUGGAAGACCGAACGCUUCGAUGUGCCUGCUAGGAGAAAUGCAAAGCUCGAGUUGCUGCAUUGUGACGUUGUGGCUCGAGAAAUGGCGCCCUUUUGGACAGUCAUCUCCAGUUGUGUUUGAUUUUACCGGGUCUUCUUUUUUUUCCCUGGCCAUACAUGGAUCUUAGUUGCGCAACGUUGGUCUGGGAUUGUGCACAAGUCAUCAUGGACGUUUGUGGCAAAAUUCUACUAGCAUGGAUAUCUGGACUCGGGUACUACUACGCAGACGGCAGACCUUGUUGUAUUGUAUCUUUGCUUCACAUCUCUGCCACACGUUCGAACUCCAGAGCCAGCAAAGCCUGCAUCUCUUCUCCUUCGUCAGGCAACCCUCUGCUGACCGGCACCGCCUGCAUAGUUUCAUCAUUCGUGUUAGAUGAACCUUCAUAUAUUUAGCCAGAUUGGAUAGCUGCGCGUCUAUGCACAAGCUGGUGCCGUUCUAGCUAGCCAGAUAAGAUAAUUUUGAGCGUAUUGAUGGAUACAGAUUAAUACCAUCAAAAUGGUUUUGUUUCAGUUUUUUGCAGCUU